Molecule: non-coding RNA, 105 nt
Organism: Vibrio fluvialis PG41
Lineage: Bacteria; Pseudomonadati; Pseudomonadota; Gammaproteobacteria; Vibrionales; Vibrionaceae
Source: Rfam
UAUCACUAAGGAUUGUUUUUCUCACAAAAUUUUUCCUGUGAGAGACGGAAAGGAAGCGAACCCGCCACCAUUGGCAGGUUUAGAUUCAUAACAAUAAAGGACGGG